CGGGGUGCAGCAGGCGCGAAAACUCUACAAUGCAGGCAACUGCGAUAGGGGGGCAUCGAGUGGCAUCCACCUUGGGUGCCUGUCCAACCGUCUAAAAAACGGUUGUUAGCAAGGGCCGGGUAAGACCGGUGCCAGCCGCCGCGGUAAUACCGGCGGCUCGAGUGGUGGCCGAUAUUAUUGAGUCUAAAGGGUCCGUAGCCGGCUUUGCAAGUCCCCUGGGAAAUCCAGCGGCUUAACCGUUGGGCUUUCAUGGGAUACUACAUUGCUUGGGACUGGGAGAGGUAGGAGGUACUCGGGGGGUAGGGGUGAAAUCCUGUAAUCCUCCGGGGACCACCGGUGGCGAAGGCGUCCUACCAGAACAGGUCCGACGGUGAGGGACGAAAGCUAGGGGCACGAACCGGAUUAGGUACCCGGGUAGUCCUAGCCGUAAACGAUGCCCGCUAGGUGUCACGACGGUCGUGAAUCGUCGUGGUGCCGUAGGGAAGCCGCGAAGCGGGCCACUUGGGAAGUACGGCCGCAAGGCUGAAACUUAAAGGAAUUGGCGGGGGAGCA
Molecule: ribosomal RNA, 552 nt
Filed under: uncultured archaeon
Lineage: Archaea
Description: bacterial SSU rRNA
Rfam family: Archaeal small subunit ribosomal RNA
Source: RNAcentral